UUUUGAAACUCUACUGUUUUUGUGUAGAAAUAAAAUACGUUAAGAUUCCAUGCGGGUAAAUCGACAGGAGACCCCCGGAAGAACAGGCGCCUCCCUGCCAGGCAGCCCACCCGGCCUGCCUCCUGUGCGCUGGCCUCUGAGGCCUCCGGCGUGGGGACUGGCAGGAGGCCCGCUGGGGCGGAGAGAGAAUUCUGGAGCUUGAGGGGAGGAAGGUGUGACGAAGCCUGGGUCCCUGUCCCUAAGGGGUCCUGACGCUCUGGGCCCCGCCCUGAGUCCACGACUGGCCUCCCCUUUGUGACGAGAGCAGGCCCUGCAUCAUCAGCAACCAGCGCUCCCUCCAGCCUCCGCGCAUUUCAGCUGGCGCUGCAGCUGCUGCACAGACCCACAGAAGCCACCCUCGGAACCAGCGCCCGAUGAGAAGGCGGGACCUGCGCUCCUCCACACCAAGCCAGGCGCUGGGGCUGUAUGGUGUUCAGUGCCUCCUGCGUCUUGAGGGGCCAGUUACAUAAGAGUGCACGAAGUAGACCCAAUUCUGAGACUGAAGUUACCAAAGGAGGGGAGUGUCUCAUUGACAAAAGAGCACUUUCAGUGUCUGCAGUUCAAAGAGCCCAACCCUCUCUCUGUGGCCCCAACCUCGUUAAGGAGCUGCUCACAGAACCCCACCCACCGGCCACACCUGAAACACCGGCUCCCACCUCAGGAAGCUUUUGGCAGUGCAAGGUGGAGAUCAAGACCUUGCUGAUAUAAUCAGAAAGUUUCUUGGUAGUUUACAUAGUAUUAGCACAAUUACACUUUGACCCACUUCAGAGACAAGCAUGACUCAACAGUGUGACUUCCCAGUGAGGCUGAAAACCCUCACUGAGGCCCUGAAGAC
This 874-nucleotide long non-coding RNA is filed under the name Pongo abelii (Sumatran orangutan). RNAcentral describes it as "lncRNA (ENSPPYG00000035211.1)". Lineage: Eukaryota; Metazoa; Chordata; Mammalia; Primates; Hominidae. The record is from RNAcentral.